AUCACCAACAUAGGUAUAGGAGUUUAAAACUAAUCAUUUCCACAAGUCUUGGUGAAUAUUUGUACACAGGUUGAUUUAUCCAGAAAAUGGAUCAAAUGGCCCAUUGUCAUACACAUCAAGCAAUGAACCAAUGCCAACAAAUGUGCAAACCUGCAAAAACCCACUCAAGAUGAAGUAUAGACCCACUUACCAAACGGGGUGGCCCACCUACCAUGACAGGGGGUUGGCCGAUCCCUAGGGGAGGUCGCCCGACCUGCCAUGUGGACCCCCAUCCUCCACCGCCUCGUGCAUGUUUCUAAGAUCUACACCCUUGAUUCUAAGGCGGUUUUAAGUCGGUUUAUCCAACGGUGACUGAGAGAGUUGACGUGGAUCGAUGACGUGGCACUGACUUGCUCCCUACUCCAUCUCCC
RNAcentral lists this long non-coding RNA (410 nucleotides) under Setaria viridis. RNAcentral describes it as "long non-coding RNA (SVIR_LNC005811)". The record is from RNAcentral. Lineage: Eukaryota; Viridiplantae; Streptophyta; Magnoliopsida; Poales; Poaceae.